Molecule: long non-coding RNA, 1481 nt
Filed under: Vulpes vulpes (red fox)
Lineage: Eukaryota; Metazoa; Chordata; Mammalia; Carnivora; Canidae
Description: lncRNA (ENSVVUG00000013301.1)
Source: RNAcentral
AUGAAAGUCAUUAUUUCAUUAAGCAGGCUUAAUGAGAAUGCUUACGUACAAUGCUUCCCUGCAGAGUUACCAGGGAAACCUCAAAGCCCUAAUAAUGCCAUAAACAUCUUUCAGAAGGUGCUUAACAGGAUGUUAAGUGAAGGUCUUAAAGUGUUGGCUAAGCCCUCCGAGUGGAAUACACUUAGUGAAGAAGUGAAUGAGGACCUCUUUAUUUCCAAUGCAAUAGAAAUGCAAAGAGGAGGAAAUCAAUGCAAACCAGUAUGUCUUGGAUCAGCACAUUUUAAAACAAAAUGUACCUUUGUAUCUAAAAAUCUGAGAGCCAUGAAUAUUUAACAGAGAGAGAAAAGAAUGAUUUUGUCAGCGUGUAAAGCAAGUCCCAGGGAAGCUUAAAUUCUGCUGUCUUCUAUCCACCUGCUAGAUGCCAUUGGCAUUCCUCCCAGUCGUGACAUCUAAAAUAUCUCCAGACAUUAUCAAAUGUCCCCCAGAGGGGGUAUCAAAAAUUGACCCUGGUUGAGAAGUAAUCCCAUAAAGAGUCCCCCAAAUCAGCAUAUUAGUGUCCUAUUGCUGUUGUAAUAGAUUACCAAAAACGUAGUGGCUUAAAACAACACAUUUUUUUGGUCUCACAGUUCUGGAGGUCAGAAGUCCAACCUCACUCUCACUGGGCUAAUAUUAGGGUGUCAGCAGGUCUGGAUUCUUUCUUGGAGUUCUGGUAGAGAAUUCCUUUCCUUGCCAGCUUUUCAAUGCCGCCUUCGUUCCUGGCUCCCUAUUCCCGGCCAGCAGUGACAUCAUACCUUCUCUGACUCUGACCCUCCUGCCUCCCUCUGAUAAAGAUCCUUAUGAUUACAUUGGCCCACCUGGAUAGUCCAGGGUCAUCUUCCCAUCUGGAAGUUCUAAACUUCAUCACACCUGUCAGGUCCCUUUUAUCAUGGAAGAUAACGUAUUCACAGGUUUCACAGAUUAGUAUAUGGACAUCUUUGGGGAGGGCAUUCUCUGUACCACAGUCAGUCUUUGGGCUCAUGCCAACCAGAGGACACUAAGUAGAUGGAUGUACCAGCACUAGUUAAGUAAGAUCCUGUGCUUUCUACUUGCUUCUCCUCCUGCCUCUUCCCAGGAUCUGGAAGCACUGAACAAGUGAGAAAAGAAGGUGAGAAAAAGAAAUCUCACCCUACCCCUCCCCAUUGCUGGAACCAAAUGUGGAGGUGUGCUCAGGCCUAGCUGGAAGAGACCUUGAAAUCAUUUGGAAGAUAAUGGUUUUGAUUACAGUGGGACGGGACUUUUUUUUUCUUUUAAUGCUAUUUUAAUUCCCCACUUGUCUGGUAUGCCACAGGCUCUAGCUGGAAGGUUACUCAUGGCUAGAAGAGAGGCUGUUAAUCAGUAAAACUGAAGGCAGUGAUGGGGAGAGAAAAAGUUACUGCUCGUGGUCCCUCAUAGACCCCAGCUUAUUGAAUAAACCUGGUACAAGCAGGUUUUAGAGGAGAGAG